Molecule: ribosomal RNA, 535 nt
Filed under: Escherichia coli
Lineage: Bacteria; Pseudomonadati; Pseudomonadota; Gammaproteobacteria; Enterobacterales; Enterobacteriaceae
Description: partial 23S ribosomal RNA
Rfam family: Bacterial large subunit ribosomal RNA
Source: RNAcentral
CUUUACUAUAGCUUGACACUGAACAUUGAGCCUUGAUGUGUAGGAUAGGUGGGAGGCUUUGAAGUGUGGACGCCAGUCUGCAUGGAGCCGACCUUGAAAUACCACCCUUUAAUGUUUGAUGUUCUAACGUUGACCCGUAAUCCGGGUUGCGGACAGUGUCUGGUGGGUAGUUUGACUGGGGCGGUCUCCUCCUAAAGAGUAACGGAGGAGCACGAAGGUUGGCUAAUCCUGGUCGGACAUCAGGAGGUUAGUGCAAUGGCAUAAGCCAGCUUGACUGCGAGCGUGACGGCGCGAGCAGGUGCGAAAGCAGGUCAUAGUGAUCCGGUGGUUCUGAAUGGAAGGGCCAUCGCUCAACGGAUAAAAGGUACUCCGGGGAUAACAGGCUGAUACCGCCCAAGAGUUCAUAUCGACGGCGGUGUUUGGCACCUCGAUGUCGGCUCAUCACAUCCUGGGGCUGAAGUAGGUCCCAAGGGUAUGGCUGUUCGCCAUUUAAAGUGGUACGCGAGCUGGGUUUAGAACGUCGUGAGACAGUUCG